This is a long non-coding RNA of Triticum aestivum (bread wheat), 1833 nucleotides long. RefSeq lists it as uncharacterized. The record is from RefSeq and is a predicted model, not a curated record. NCBI's taxonomy places the organism in Eukaryota, Viridiplantae, Streptophyta, Magnoliopsida, Poales, Poaceae. The transcript is spliced from 5 exons.
UGCGAGAGGCCCAGAUCCCAGCCGCGCUCCUCUGAAGUCUGAACACAAGCGCGCUAUCUCACCCUGGCCACACAAACCUAAACCUAAACCUAAAUCGCCCACCAGCCGCCGCCACCCUUCAUCUCCGUCGAUUCGGUCAUGCCGCUGCACGUCCCACCGUCGCCCGCGCCACACGAAGCUCCCAUCCAGCCCGCGGUGCAGCCCCACCACCAGCAGCCUGAGGUGACGCCCCGUCGUCAGCUCAUCCAGCGACCGACGCCGCCGUGUGCCGAUUCGGUCGCGCCGCUGCGCCUCCACCGCCGGCGGCGCCACGCCGCCACCCGAAGCUCUUGCCCAGCCCGUGGUGCAUCCCGACGUGUCGCCCUGGCGACGGCCGACGUGCUUACCAAUUUGAGCGGUUGCUUCUCCGACUGCCGUUAGUGCCCCCCAAAGCUUCCUUCCACCCCGUGGUGCUUCCAUCCACAGCCAAGGAGCCGCACAACCCCCUGCAUCCCGAGGUGCCACCCAGCCGUCCCUCUUCCACCUCCAGUGAUGGCUCCCCUAUCCCCCCUUGUCAUGCCCUCCUUUGCAUCUAACUGUUGCAUCCUGUAGCGUCUUCAAUUGAAUCUAUGUACAUAGGGAAAACUCCACAAGAGGCUUCUGAAGUUUGGUCAACGCCUACAUGAGGACCAACCUAUAGCUCGUAUGUGCCGCUGGAUAAGGCCAUGUCUUUCGUGGGUGGUGCUUGGCUGAUUUGUACAUGGAUACUAUUAAAGAAUGGUACAAACAUAUAUGGAUUAUGAAAGGUUGAUCCAAGCCAGCUUCAGAAUGAGCUCAAGGCAUACAGGAAGACCGAGGAGGGGAUGAACACACUUUUGAACCACUACCUCCAUUUCUGUGGAGUUUCUCUCAAGGUCAGCUUAACCAAUUCCAUUCUGAAAAUCAUGCCGCAUAUAUUCACUUCUCGUCGAUUCACAAAAAGAAACAAAAAAUGAACUUACAUAUGCAAGCUGAAAUGCUGGUGAUCGUGAAGAACAGUCCUGUGAAUGGCAUCAUCAAGCUCAUCGAACAGCAUCACAUCACAAACCAUGUCACGGGAACAUCUUCCUUCUCACCGUGUGUCCAGACCAAAUACAGCUUCGUAACAAGGUUUCAUCGAUAAACAUGCACAUAAAAAUUGUUCGUGGACUUCUAUAUAUAUAUUUAGGUAGGAGGUCCUAUUCUUUAAGGAUCUAUUUUAUCCGCUUGUUCAUUGUAAAUAUUGAUUUGUGCACCAAACUUGAGUCAUGCCUUGUUCCAACUGAGGCAUCCCUGCACUAUGCAUAUACGUGAUUUUGUUUUACUGCUAGCAAUGUGUCCCAUUUAUUUUAUACUUCUUAGAUGUUCGCCUUAAACUGGUGCACAUAAUUUUCAGCAGGGCAACUUCUUAGCUCAACUGAUGGGUGGAUGUCCUUUCUUACAGUCGUGCAUGCUCUAACCAUUUGUUCUUUCUUGUCGUGAUGGAAGAUGUAACACCAUUUACUUGCUAGUGACAAUGGCACGUCCACAAGUUGAUACAAGAUGUUCUGAUGAUCGGUUUUGUUCAUAGCAUGUUUGACACAUUUCGUGGAUAUGGAAGUUGAGGUCAGCUCGGUGAUCGAAGGUAUUUGGUCUCUUCCUUAUUAUCUUGUAGUAGUCAAGUGAUCGAACAAUUGGGUCUCUUAGGAGCUUAGCCGUCAUAUUUUGUAAUAGACAACGUCUUGUAUGUUGACUUACUUAUUUCCUUAUUGGUUGUAGCUGACUUGAGUGUAGCAAAUAAUGAAUCUUGUAUAUAUGCUUGAAUGAAUGUAUUAAUCAAUGGUAUCUUGUGAUGAA